Molecule: ribosomal RNA, 472 nt
Filed under: uncultured bacterium
Lineage: Bacteria
Description: bacterial SSU rRNA
Rfam family: Bacterial small subunit ribosomal RNA
Source: RNAcentral
ACUCCUACGGGAGGCAGCAGUGGGAAUAUUGGACAAUGGGGGGAACCCUGAUCCAGCCAUGCCGCGUGUGUGAAGAAGGCCUUAUGGUUGUAAAGCACUUUAAGCGAGGAGGAGGGUACUCUGAUUAAUACUCAGAAGUAUUGGACGUUACUCGCAGAAUAAGCACCGGCUAACUCUGUGCCAGCAGCCGCGGUAAUACAGAGGGUGCAAGCGUUAAUCGGAUUUACUGGGCGUAAAGCGCGCGUAGGCGGCACAUUAAGUUGGAUGUGAAAUCCCCGAGCUUAACUUGGGAAUUGCAUUCAAGACUGGUGAGCUAGAGUGUGGGAGAGGAUGGUAGAAUUCCAGGUGUAGCGGUGAAAUGCGUAGAGAUCUGGAGGAAUACCGGUGGCGAAGGCGGCCCCCUGGACAAAGACUGACGCUCAGGCACGAAAGCGUGGGGAGCAAACAGGAUUAGAUACCCUGGUAGGCUCUG